GGGGAUGUGGCUGAGUGGUAGAGUGUCUGCUUUGCAAGCAGAAGGUCCCAGGUUCAAUCUCUGGCAUCUCCC
Gekko japonicus is the source of this 72-nucleotide non-coding RNA. NCBI's taxonomy places the organism in Eukaryota, Metazoa, Chordata, Lepidosauria, Squamata, Gekkonidae. The record is from the annotation of a RefSeq genome assembly.